UGUUAGCGGCGGACGGGUGAGUAACACGUGGGUAACCUACCUAUAAGACUGGGAUAACUCCGGGAAACCGGGGCUAAUACCGGAUAAUAUUUUGAACCGCAUGGUUCAAUAGUGAAAGACGGUUUCGGCUGUCACUUAUAGAUGGACCCGCGCCGUAUUAGCUAGUUGGUAAGGUAACGGCUUACCAAGGCGACGAUACGUAGCCGACCUGAGAGGGUGAUCGGCCACACUGGAACUGAGACACGGUCCAGACUCCUACGGGAGGCAGCAGUC
Molecule: ribosomal RNA, 273 nt
Filed under: uncultured Staphylococcus sp.
Lineage: Bacteria; Bacillati; Bacillota; Bacilli; Caryophanales; Staphylococcaceae
Description: partial 16S ribosomal RNA
Rfam family: Bacterial small subunit ribosomal RNA
Source: RNAcentral